This 396-nucleotide ribosomal RNA is filed under the name uncultured bacterium. Its description in RNAcentral is "bacterial SSU rRNA". It matches the Rfam family "Bacterial small subunit ribosomal RNA", at positions 505 to 898 of the family's 1533-position model. The record is from RNAcentral.
GUGUCAGCAGCCGCGGUAAUACGUAGGGACCAAGCGUUGUUCGGAUUUACUGGGCGUAAAGGGCGCGUAGGCGGCAAUUCAAGUCAGCUGUGAAAUCUCCGGGCUUAACUCGGAACGGUCAGCUGAUACUGCUUUGCUAGAGUGCGGAAGGGGCAAUCGGAAUUCUCGGUGUAGCGGUGAAAUGCGUAGAUAUCGAGAGGAACACCUGAGGUGAAGACGGGUUGCUGGGCCGACACUGACGCUGAUGCGCGAAAGCCAGGGUAGCAAACGGGAUUAGAUACCCCGGUAGUCCUGGCCCUAAACGAUGAAUACUUGGUGUCUGGAGUCAUUAUUGCUCCGGGUGCCGUCGCUAACGUUUUAAGUAUUCCGCCUGGGGAGUACGCACGCAAGUGUGAA